This 301-nucleotide ribosomal RNA is filed under the name uncultured bacterium. Its description in RNAcentral is "partial 16S ribosomal RNA". It matches the Rfam family "Bacterial small subunit ribosomal RNA", at positions 509 to 807 of the family's 1533-position model. The record is from RNAcentral.
CAGUCGCCGCGGGAAUACGUAGGGUGCAAGCGUUAAUCGGAAUUACUGGGCGUAAAGCGUGCGCAGGCGGUUAUAUAAGACAGAUGUGAAAUCCCCGGGCUCAACCUGGGAACUGCAUUUGUGACUGUAUAGCUAGAGUACGGCAGAGGGGGAUGGAAUUCCGCGUGUAGCAGUGAAAUGCGUAGAUAUGCGGAGGAACACCGAUGGCGAAGGCAAUCCCCUGGGCCUGUACUGACGCUCAUUCACGAAAGCGUGGGGAGCAAACAGGAUUAGAUACCCCAGUAGUCCCUGUCUCUUAUAC